AGGGUGACUAGCUACUGAAUCAUAGAAUUUCUUUAAAUUCAUGAUGUCGUAAGGGAAAAUAAUGAUAUUACCUUACUAUGAGUGUCGUCCAAAGCUGGUGCCAGAAGACUCGGUAAGACCAGAGACGCAAACGUUAAUCAUCUUAAACAGGCGUAAAGGGUUUGUAGGCAGCUUUCAUAAUAUUAUUUCUUACAAAAAUAAAGAAGUGGUCUGAUUGAAAGCUAGAAUCAAAAAGAGGUUAUAGUGUAUAACGCCUAGAGGAGGGCUGAUAUCCUUAGAUCCUAGGCAGAAUACUUAGGGCGAAGGCCACUCUCCACUAAUGAUUGACGCUGAGAAACGAAGGUAAGGGUAGGAAAUAGGAUUAGAUACCCCGGUACUCCUUUCUGUAAACGAUGAAUGGUAGUCAUUAGUAAAAUUAACUAGAGACGAAGUUAACACAAUAACCAUUCCGCCUUGUGAGUACUACUGCAAAGUAGAAAACAAAAAAAUUAGUCGGUCUCGAAGCAAACGGAGUGAAGCAUGUUAUUUAAUUAAUAAAAUCCGC
Molecule: ribosomal RNA, 544 nt
Filed under: Sanguinoderma rugosum
Lineage: Eukaryota; Fungi; Basidiomycota; Agaricomycetes; Polyporales; Polyporaceae
Description: partial large subunit ribosomal RNA
Rfam family: Bacterial small subunit ribosomal RNA
Source: RNAcentral